AUUGAACGCUGGCGGCAUGCCUUACACAUGCAAGUCGAACGGCAGCACGGGAGCAAUCCUGGUGGCGAGUGGCGAACGGGUGAGUAAUAUAUCGGAACGUGCCCAGUCGUGGGGAUAACGUAGCGAAAGCUACGCUAAUACCGCAUACGAUCUAUGGAUGAAAGCGGGGGAUCGCAAGACCUCGCGCGAUUGGAGCGGCCGAUAUCAGAUUAGGUAGUUGGUGAGGUAAAGGCUCACCAAGCCGACGAUCUGUAGCUGGUCUGAGAGGACGACCAGCCACACUGGGACUGAGACACGGCCCAGACUCCUACGGGAGGCAGCAGUGGGGAAUUUUGGACAAUGGGCGCAAGCCUGAUCCAGCAAUGCCGCGUGCCAGGAUGAAGGCCU
This 387-nucleotide ribosomal RNA is filed under the name uncultured bacterium. Its description in RNAcentral is "bacterial SSU rRNA". It matches the Rfam family "Bacterial small subunit ribosomal RNA", at positions 30 to 417 of the family's 1533-position model. The record is from RNAcentral.